This is a long non-coding RNA of Patiria miniata (bat star), 1174 nucleotides long. RefSeq lists it as uncharacterized. The record is from RefSeq and is a predicted model, not a curated record. NCBI's taxonomy places the organism in Eukaryota, Metazoa, Echinodermata, Asteroidea, Valvatida, Asterinidae. The transcript has 2 exons.
CAAAAUUCUACUGGGAAAUGGUGGGUCGAUUUAUUCAAGACAAUUUUGAACUGCACAUUAUUUUCAGGAAACAUGUUUUGAUCAUUUUUAACAAGAAAUGACAUUAUGCAUAGACGUCUACUUGAAUAGAUUAGGUGGACUUCUUUAAUAAGGAAAAGAGCUCCCAAAACCACUGCAGCCAUCUUGACCUGGUUCCCCGACUGCCUGAUUGGAAUAACACUGAAGCACAUCUUCACUUCACAGGCACCUGUUUAUUUUCUGUUUAUUUUUAGUAAUGUGAACUAUUUUUUUACCUAAAGCCAACUUUUCACGAAAACACUUUGGACACAAAUUUCUUGGUUUACAAUGUUAGGUGAAGUACUUGUCAAGCUGGAUACAUGUACAUAUCAACGGAAAAAUUAAAAUGCCUUGAUACUAAUAAUUUAGUAAUAAAAUAUAAAAGAAAAACAAUUCAUUUCCUUCUCCCAAAGAAUUAAAAAUCAUUUGACUAUACCAGUGUAAAAAAUGACAAAAUAAAAGUGAAGGGCAGAAGUUUAGUGUCAAACAAUUUCAGUUAAAAACAAAAGUGCUUCUCAUCAACAGUUUCAAUGUUCCCUGUUCGCAUUAGUUAAGAAAAUGAGGAAAUGCAUUUAAAUGUAUUUUUUUUAAAAGUGAUAUUCUAACAGGUACAACAGUUUUUACAUGGACAAAACUUCAAUACUUGCACCUAUCAUAAGGGAAAGUGGCACCAUCAUAGUACAAGUCCAUCAUGUUUUUGCACAAACAUUGUGGCACGAAGUUAACGACUAUGAAUACUGAAAUGUCACAACUUAAUAUACACUUGUACACCGUUUUUGAGACCAACUACAUUGACACUACUAGUCAAAUCGUGAUUUCCGUUCGUGUAAGAAACAACAAUCUGAAUAGCUAUCAAAUAUUGGAAAAAAAGUACCCCAAAAGACAAUAAUGACCGACAAAACCCUGUAAAUCGUCGCGUCAGUGAAACAAGGUCGUAACUCCUUUCUGCUACAAAGUCGUAUCUCGACGUCCAUUGACUUUGUGUACAUCCAGGUUAUUUUAAGUGAGAUACAACCUUUUGACAUUCUGAAACACGGGUUUUCAGUACGGCCCAUUUUAGGAGAUACGACCUUGUUGCAUGGACACGACGAAAUGUUGAUCACUUCCAGAAAAAAAA